Long non-coding RNA from Callithrix jacchus (white-tufted-ear marmoset), 1833 nucleotides. The record is from Ensembl. NCBI's taxonomy places the organism in Eukaryota, Metazoa, Chordata, Mammalia, Primates, Cebidae.
AUGCAAUAUGGACUGUGCCUGUGUGUGCACACAGAAACACAGAAACACAAACACACACAGAAACACAUGCAGAAACACAAACACAUACAGAAACACACAGAAACACAAACACAUACAGAAACACACAGAAACACAAACACAUACAGAAACAUACAUAGAAACACACACACAGAAACACAAACACAUACAGAAACAUACACAGAAACACACAAACACAUACAGAAAAACACACAGAAACACACAUACAGAAAUAUACACAAACACAUGCAGAAACAAACAUACAGAAACAUACACAGAAACACAAACACAGAAACACACACAGAAACACACAAACACAGAAACAUACACAGAAACACACACAGAAACACAUGCAGAAACAAACAUACAGAAACAUACACAGAAACAAACACAUACAGAAACACACACAGAAACACAAACACAUGCAGAAACACACACAGAAACACAAACACAUACAGAAACACACACAGAAACAAACACAUAAACACACACAGAAACAUACACAGAAACACAAACACAUACAGAAACACACACAGAAACACAAACACAGAAACACACACAGAAACAAACAUACAGAAACAUACACAGAAACACAAACACAUACAGAAACACACACAGAAACACAAAGAAACACAAACACAGAAACACACACAGAAACAAAAACACAUACAGAAACAUACGCAGAAACACAGACACACACACAGAAACACGGAAACACACAGGAACACAAACACAUACAGAAACACACAGAAACACACACAGAAACACACAGAAACAUACACAGAAAUACAAACACAUACAGAAACACACACAGAAACACAAGCACAGAAACACACACAGAAACAAAAACACAUACAGAAACAUACACAGAAACACAAACAUACAGAAACACACACAGAAACAAAAACACAUACAGAAACACAGAAACACAAAGAAACACAAACACAUACAGAAACAUACACAGAAACACAAACACAUACAGAAACACACACAGAAACACAAACACAUACAGAAACACACACAGAAACAAAAACACAUACAGAAACACACACAGAAACAUACACAGAAACAAACACAUACAGAAACACACACAGAAACAAAAACACAUAUAGAAACAUACACAGAAACACAAACACAUACAGAAACACACACAGAAACACAAACACAUACAGAAACACACACAGAAACACAAACACAUACAGAAACACAGAAACACACACAGAAACACACACAGAAACAUACACAGAAACACACACAGAAACAUACACAGAAAAACACAUACAGAAACACACACAGAAACAGAAACACAUACAGAAACACACACAGAAACAUACACAGAAACACAAACACAUACAGAAACACACACAGAAACACAAACACAGAAACACACACAGAAACAAAAACACAUACAGAAACAUACACAGAAACACAAACACAUACAGAAACACACACAGAAACACAAAGAAACACAAACACAGAAACACACACAGAAACAAAAACACAUGCAGAAACAUACGCAGAAACACAGACACACACACAGAAACACGGAAACACACAGGAACACAAACACAUACAGAAACACAAACACAUACAGAAACACACACAGAAACACAAACACACACACAGAAACACAAACACACACACACACAGAAACACAAACACAUACAGAAACACAGAAACACAAACACAGAAACACACAUCCCUCAGAAACCCAGACAAACAUGUGCAAUGCAUACCUGCCUGUCUUCACAACCACACCCACCUUGGGCAAAAGUGUGGGCAGUAGACAGGCAGCAUGUGAAGACACCACUGUAG